Molecule: ribosomal RNA, 497 nt
Filed under: uncultured bacterium
Lineage: Bacteria
Description: partial 16S ribosomal RNA
Rfam family: Bacterial small subunit ribosomal RNA
Source: RNAcentral
GAUGAACGCUGGCGGCGUGCCUAAUACAUGCAAGUCGAGCGAACAGACGAGGAGCUUGCUCCUCUGACGUUAGCGGCGGACGGGUGAGUAACACGUGGAUAACCUACCUAUAAGACUGGGAUAACUUCGGGAAACCGGAGCUAAUACCGGAUAAUAUAUUGAACCGCAUGGUUCAAUAGUGAAAGACGGUUUUGCUGUCACUUAUAGAUGGAUCCGCGCCGCAUUAGCUAGUUGGUAAGGUAACGGCUUACCAAGGCAACGAUGCGUAGCCGACCUGAGAGGGUGAUCGGACACACUGGAACUGAGACACGGUCCAGACUCCUACGGGAGGCAGCAGUAGGGAAUCUUCCGCAAUGGGCGAAAGCCUGACGGAGCAACGCCGCGUGAAUGAUGAAGGUCUUCGGAUCGUAAAACUCUGUUAUUAGGGAAGAACAAAUGUGUAAGUAACUAUGCACGUCUUGACGGUACCUAAUCAGAAAGCCACGGCUAACUACGUG